Molecule: long non-coding RNA, 227 nt
Filed under: Phoenix dactylifera (date palm)
Lineage: Eukaryota; Viridiplantae; Streptophyta; Magnoliopsida; Arecales; Arecaceae
Description: long non-coding RNA (PDAC_LNC009679)
Source: RNAcentral
GCUAACCCAUUUUAGAACAAUUAAUCUAAUUGGUGUCUAAGGAAAGCACUAAAGGUGGUUCUCUAAUUAGGACCUUACUCUCUGAGUAAGGGGAGCCUCCCACCUGCUUACCUAGCCAAUUGUUUGAUUGCCUAUUAUGGAUAAGCUUAAUAUUGAUAUAACACUAUUGAUAGCCUUCCUUCAUGCCUCGACAUUAUUAUAUCAAGAUCCAUGCUAGUUUGUUGUGC